Molecule: ribosomal RNA, 253 nt
Filed under: uncultured bacterium
Lineage: Bacteria
Also listed under: 1 other name
Description: partial 16S ribosomal RNA
Rfam family: Bacterial small subunit ribosomal RNA
Source: RNAcentral
UACGUAGGCAGCAAACGUUGUUCGGAAUUACUGGGCGUAAAGAGUGUGUAGGCGGCUUUGUUAGUCUGGUGUGAAAUCUCCCGGCUUAACUGGGAGGGUGCGCUAGAAACUGCAGAGCUAGAGUAUCGGAGAGGAAAGCGGAAUUCCUGGUGUAGCGGUGAAAUGCGUAGAUAUCAGGAGGAACACCGGUGGUGUAGACGGCUUUCUGGACGAUCACUGACGCUGAGACACGAAAGCGUGGGGAGCAAACAGG